UACAGAGGGUGCAAGCGUUGUUCGGAAUCAUUGGGCGUAAAGCGCACGUAGGCGGCUUUGCAAGUCAGGUGUGAAAGCCCGGGGCUCAACCCCGGAAGUGCAUUUGAAACUGCAGAGCUUGAGUCUUGGAGAGGGCAGUGGAAUUCCGAGUGUAGAGGUGAAAUUCGUAGAUAUUCGGAGGAACACCAGUGGCGAAGGCGACUGCCUGGACAAAGACUGACGCUGAGGUGCGAAAGCGUGGGGAGCAAACAGG
Molecule: ribosomal RNA, 253 nt
Filed under: uncultured bacterium
Lineage: Bacteria
Description: partial 16S ribosomal RNA
Rfam family: Bacterial small subunit ribosomal RNA
Source: RNAcentral